RNAcentral lists this ribosomal RNA (229 nucleotides) under uncultured bacterium. RNAcentral describes it as "partial 16S ribosomal RNA". It matches the Rfam family "Bacterial small subunit ribosomal RNA", at positions 568 to 796 of the family's 1533-position model. The record is from RNAcentral.
UGCGUAGGCGGACUAAUAAGUCAGCGGUGAAAUCUCUCGGCUCAACCGGGAAACUGCCAUUGAUACUGUUAGUCUUGAGUUCGGUUGAGGUAGGCGGAAUGUGUAAUGUAGCGGUGAAAUGCUUAGAUAUUACACAGAACACCAAUUGCGUAGGCAGCUUACUAGACCGACACUGACGCUGAGGCACGAAAGCGUGGGUAGCGAACAGGAUUAGAUACCCUGGUAGUCC